UGGGGAAUCUUGGACAAUGGGCGCAAGCCUGAUCCAGCCAUGCCGCGUGCAGGAUGAAGGCGUUAUGCGUUGUAAACUGCUUUUUAUAUAGGAAGAAAUAGUCCUUGCGAGGAAAGUUGACGGUACUAUAUGAAUAAGCACCGGCUAACUCCGUGCCAGCAGCCGCGGUAAUACGGAGGGUGUAAGCGUUGUCCGGAUUUAUUGGGUUUAAAGGGUGCGUAGGCGGUUUAUUAAGUCAGUGGUGAAAGACGGUCGCUCAACGAUUGCAGUGCCAUUGAUACUGGUAGACUUGAGUAUGAUUGAGGUAGCUGGAAUGGAUAGUGUAGCGGUGAAAUGCAUAGAUAUUGUCCAGAACACCAAUUGCGUAGGCAAGUUACUAAGUCAUAACUGACGCUGAGGCACGAAAGUGUGGGUAUCAAACAGGAUUAGAUACCCCAGUAGUCCCUGAGCGGGCUGGCAAGGCGCAU
This 467-nucleotide ribosomal RNA is filed under the name uncultured bacterium. RNAcentral describes it as "bacterial SSU rRNA". It matches the Rfam family "Bacterial small subunit ribosomal RNA", at positions 355 to 825 of the family's 1533-position model. The record is from RNAcentral.